AAAUUGAAGAGUUUGAUCAUGGCUCAGAUUGAACGCUGGCGGCAGGCCUAACACAUGCAAGUCGAGCGGUAGCACAGAGAGCUUGCUCUCGGGUGACGAGCGGCG
This 105-nucleotide ribosomal RNA is filed under the name Klebsiella aerogenes. Its description in RNAcentral is "partial 16S ribosomal RNA". It matches the Rfam family "Bacterial small subunit ribosomal RNA", at positions 1 to 100 of the family's 1533-position model. Lineage: Bacteria; Pseudomonadati; Pseudomonadota; Gammaproteobacteria; Enterobacterales; Enterobacteriaceae. The record is from RNAcentral. RNAcentral also lists the same sequence under 6 other names.